RNAcentral lists this ribosomal RNA (445 nucleotides) under uncultured bacterium. Its description in RNAcentral is "SSU rRNA". It matches the Rfam family "Bacterial small subunit ribosomal RNA", at positions 26 to 518 of the family's 1533-position model. The record is from RNAcentral.
AGAACGAACGCUGGCGGCAGGCCUAACACAUGCAAGUCGAACGCCCCGCAAGGGGAGUGGCAGACGGGUGAGUAACGCGUGGGAACAUACCUUUCGGUUCGGAAUAGCUCAGGGAAACUUGGAUUAAUACCGGAUACGUCCGCAAGGAGAAAGAUUUAUCGCCGAAAGAUUGGCCCGCGUCCGAUUAGCUAGUUGGUGGGGUAAAAGCUCACCAAGGCGACGAUCGGUAGCUGGUCUGAGAGGAUGAUCAGCCACACUGGGACUGAGACACGGCCCAGACUCCUACGGGAGGCAGCAGUGGGGGAUAUUGGACAAUGGGCGCAAGCCUGAUCCAGCCAUGCCGCGUGAGUGAUGAAGGCCCUAGGGUUGUAAAGCUCGUUUCGUCAGGGACGAUAAUGACGGUACCUGAAGAAGAACGCCCGGCUAACUUCGCGCCAGCAGCCGC